CUGCCUGGUAGUGGGGGAUAACGUCCGGAAACGGACGCUAAUACCGCAUACGUCCUACGGGAGAAAGCAGGGGACCUUCGGGCCUUGCGCUAUCAGAUGAGCCUAGGUCGGAUUAGCUAGUUGGUGGGGUAAUGGCUCACCAAGGCGACGAUCCGUAACUGGUCUGAGAGGAUGAUCAGUCACACUGGAACUGAGACACGGUCCAGACUCCUACGGGAGGCAGCAGUGGGGAAUAUUGGACAAUGGGCGAAAGCCUGAUCCAGCCAUGCCGCGUGUGUGAAGAAGGUCUUCGGAUUGUAAAGCACUUUAAGUUGGGAGGAAGGGCAGUAAAUUAAUACUUUGCUGUUUUGACGUUACCGACAGAAUAAGCACCGGCUAACUCUGUGCCAGCAGCCGCGGUAAUACAGAGGGUGCAAGCGUUAAUCGGAAUUACUGGGCGUAAAGCGCGCGUAGGUGGUUCGUUAAAGUUGGAUGUGAAAUCCCCGGGCUCAACCUGGGAACUGCAUUCAAAAACUGACGAGCUAGAGUAUGGUAGAGGGUGGUGGAAUUUCCUG
RNAcentral lists this ribosomal RNA (554 nucleotides) under uncultured bacterium. RNAcentral describes it as "bacterial SSU rRNA". It matches the Rfam family "Bacterial small subunit ribosomal RNA", at positions 126 to 673 of the family's 1533-position model. The record is from RNAcentral.